GUAGUUACUCCAAUUAUCGGACCAUAAUCAUGGAGUUAGUAAGCAGUUUAUGCUUACUAAUGAUUGUGGCAUAUAGUUAUUACCCAUAAUUGUAGUAUCUUGAUUAUAGAUUUGACAAUCAGUCAUUUGACAGUCGGUCGUUUGACAGUUGGCAGUCGGCUGUUUGAUAGUCGGCUAUUUGGCAAUCGGUCGUUUAACAUGAAGAUGGUCAGUCGGCCAUGAGCUGGUCAGUCGGCC
This 237-nucleotide long non-coding RNA is filed under the name Elaeis guineensis (African oil palm). Its description in RNAcentral is "long non-coding RNA (EGUI_LNC076725)". Lineage: Eukaryota; Viridiplantae; Streptophyta; Magnoliopsida; Arecales; Arecaceae. The record is from RNAcentral.